ACUGUCGCAGAGGGGAAAGGUCGCCAGUCAAGCUGACCAAUCAAAGGCUAACUCUAAAUCCCUCCCUCUGCACGGUAAAAACACGCAAAUUGGGGCGGGCCUAGUGCGGAAAGAUACCGGAAGUGUUUCUGUGGCCAUCUUGAACAGAUCGCAAGCUAAAUCAUCCAUCUUAGGAGAGUCUCACCCUGAUGUCCAGGCUGGAGUGCAAUCACUCAGUCUCGGCUCACUGCAACCUCCACCUCCUGGGUUCAGAUGCUGUUGACUGGGGCAAAGAAUAAUGGGAGAAAAACAGCUGGGUCCUAAAUAACAGAGGGAAACCAACUUUCAAUAAAGUAUUCAACAACUAA
This 347-nucleotide long non-coding RNA is filed under the name Homo sapiens (human). Its description in RNAcentral is "LIX1L antisense RNA 1". Lineage: Eukaryota; Metazoa; Chordata; Mammalia; Primates; Hominidae. The record is from RNAcentral.